AAUAAUUAUUUUUAAAUAUUUUAAAAUCCGAUGUCAGUUGUAGCCGACACUAAUAAUUGUUUUUAAAUAUUUUAAAAUCCCGCGUUGUUUUAUUAUCUACUAUGGACAUAAUGUGUGAUAAAUUCAUAUAUACUUAAGUUUAAAAAAAAAAAUUUAAUAGGUGAGUCACUAAACUUUUGCAAAAUUUCAAACAUUUUGAAAUUUGAAAUUUUCACACCACUGGAGCAGACUUCCGCACAAAACUCUAAAUAUAAGGGAAGAGAAAUCCAAAUUGUUUCACACCACUCGACCAGUCCACAGUAACCACAACAAUGGCGUUCACAUCGUUAUUCUCUACGCCACAGCCACAAUAGUAGUAGCAGCAACAAUUGCCGUUUCAAAUUCAACAGCCUCACAACCCUUUAAACAAAGCAGCUCCUUCUUCUCCCAACAACCACCGUAGCAUCAGCAGAUGUCGCUGUUUCAACAGCUGCAAUUCCACCAGCAGCAGCAGCUGUUUCAACAGCUGCAAUUUCAGCAGCAGCAGUAGCAACAUCAACUGUAUUUGUUUGCUAAUGACAAGACUCCGGCGAGUUAUUGUACCAAGUGGGCGGAUCUCCAUCCAGAUUACUAGAAAAUUCUUUUGCAGAUUGAGGAAUGGAUACUGGGGUAUAGGGAUGAAAGCCAGUGGCUGGAUCAGUGUCCUUGAGAUGGAAAUGGAAGGAUGUUAAUUUUUGUACUUGAGAUGGAAAUGGAAGGAAGUUAAUUUUUUUCAGUCCUCAGUCCAAUAUCUGCUUACAAGAGUUUUUUUUUUUUUUUAGCAGUUUGAUUAUUUUGUGUAUACAUUAACUUUAUAAAAGUUGAAAAGCAUUUAACUUGGGAGAUCUUAUGCU
This is a long non-coding RNA of Pyrus x bretschneideri (Chinese white pear), 872 nucleotides long. RefSeq lists it as uncharacterized. The record is from RefSeq and is a predicted model, not a curated record. The transcript is spliced from 2 exons. Lineage: Eukaryota; Viridiplantae; Streptophyta; Magnoliopsida; Rosales; Rosaceae.